GGGUUGUGAGGUUAAGCGACUAAGCGUACACGGUGGAUGCCCUGGCAGUCAGAGGCGAUGAAGGACGUGCUAAUCUGCGAUAAGCGCCGGUAAGGUGAUAUGAACCGUUAUAACCGGCGAUACCCGAAUGGGGAAACCCAGUGUGAUUCGUCACACUAUCAUUACGUGAAUCCAUAGCGUAAUGAGGCGAACCGGGGGAACUGAAACAUCUAAGUACCCCGAGGAAAAGAAAUCAACCGAGAUUCCCCCAGUAGCGGCGAGCGAACGGGGAGGAGCCCAGAGCCUGAAUCAGCAUGUGUGUUAGUGGAAGCGUCUGGAAAGGCGCGCGAUACAGGGUGACAGCCCCGUACACAAAAGCGCAUGUGCUGUGAGCUCGAUGAGUAGGGCGGGACACGUGGUAUCCUGUCUGAAUAUGGGGGGACCAUCCUCCAAGGCUAAAUACUCCUGACUGACCGAUAGUGAACCAGUACCGUGAGGGAAAGGCGAAAAGAACCCCGGCGAGGGGAGUGAAAAAGAACCUGAAACCGUGUACGUACAAGCAGUGGGAGC
Molecule: ribosomal RNA, 549 nt
Filed under: Salmonella enterica subsp. enterica serovar Bareilly str. CFSAN000235
Lineage: Bacteria; Pseudomonadati; Pseudomonadota; Gammaproteobacteria; Enterobacterales; Enterobacteriaceae
Description: bacterial LSU rRNA
Rfam family: Bacterial large subunit ribosomal RNA
Source: RNAcentral